AUUGAACGCUGGCGGCAGGCCUAACACAUGCAAGUCGAGCGGAGCGGCGGACGGGUGAGUAAUGCCUAGGAAUCUGUCUGGUAGUGGGGGAUAACGUCCGGAUACGGGCGCUAAUACCGCAUACUCUCAGAUGAGCCUAGGUCCGAUUAGCUGUUUGGUGGGGUAAAGGCCUACCAAGGCGACGAUACGUACCUGGUCUGUGAGGAUGAUCAGUCACACUGGAAAUGGGGCACGGGCCGGAAUCCUACGGGAGGCAGCAGUGGGGAAUAUUAGACAAUGGGCGAAAGCCUGAUUCAGCCAGGCCGCGUGUGUGAAGAAGGUCUUCGGAUUGUAAAGAACUUUAAGUUGGGAGGCGUUACCAACAGAAUAAGCACAGGCUAACUUCGUGCCAGCCGCCGCGGUAAUAC
Molecule: ribosomal RNA, 407 nt
Filed under: uncultured bacterium
Lineage: Bacteria
Description: partial 16S ribosomal RNA
Rfam family: Bacterial small subunit ribosomal RNA
Source: RNAcentral